This 510-nucleotide long non-coding RNA is filed under the name Panax ginseng (ginseng). Its description in RNAcentral is "long non-coding RNA (PGIN_LNC012648)". Lineage: Eukaryota; Viridiplantae; Streptophyta; Magnoliopsida; Apiales; Araliaceae. The record is from RNAcentral.
AGGCCGGUGCUAUGUUCUUUCUGAAGAUUAGUCUCAAACUUCUUAGUGGAUACUUACUGUGAGCAAAAAACAUAGUCGAGAAGCUAAACCUGCAAGAUAGGAAAAUAAAGGCAAACAAGGAUUUAGGGGUCUGUACCAGAAGCAGCUAGCUUGCUAUAGCUUAAACAUAGCCCAAGGUAGAAACAACAUGAUGACUUGUCCUAAGCAGACAUGAUUACUUGUACUUACCAUAAAAUUGUUACAAGUUGUUUCUUUGGUGGUCCCCUAAAUUCAUCAUUUCUUUUGUGUUCUAAAAUCCAGACUACAACUCCCACGAUGAGGAAUAAGGCUGCUGUGAUUCCCCACAUUAAUGGAGUGAAUGGUCGCAAGAAAGCCCAAGCACUUGAGUACAACCUCUUCACCGGGACAACUACGACUAGCCCUGAUUCUAUAUAUGGCUGAGUGAAAUCCACAAUCCUUGUACGGUUUGUGAUAAUUGCAAUGUCACCGACUGCUGCAUCAAAGACCUGC